Molecule: ribosomal RNA, 251 nt
Filed under: uncultured bacterium
Lineage: Bacteria
Description: partial 16S ribosomal RNA
Rfam family: Bacterial small subunit ribosomal RNA
Source: RNAcentral
ACGUAGGGGGCAAGCGUUAUCCGGAUUUACUGGGUGUAAAGGGAGCGCAGACGGCGAUGCAAGUCUGGAGUGAAAGCCCGGGGCUCAACCCCGGGACUGCUUUGGAAACUGUAUGGCUAGAGUGCUGGAGAGGCAAGCGGAAUUCCUAGUGUAGCGGUGAAAUGCGUAGAUAUUAGGAAGAACACCAGUGGCGAAGGCGGCUUGCUGGACAGUAACUGACGUUCAGGCUCGAAAGCGUGGGGAGCAAACAG